GUAAGGCCCUGGGGGAGUUCGACCGAACUGAGAUGAUUCCGUGGAAUCAGACCCUUUGAACCUGAUCCGGUUAAUUCCGGCGUAGGAAAGCGGCUCGCGUGACGA
RNAcentral lists this non-coding RNA (105 nucleotides) under Pelobacter propionicus. Its description in RNAcentral is "TPP sequence". It matches the Rfam family "TPP riboswitch aptamer (THI element)". Rfam says of the family: Vitamin B(1) in its active form thiamin pyrophosphate (TPP) is an essential coenzyme that is synthesised by coupling of pyrimidine and thiazole moieties in bacteria. The previously detected thiamin-regulatory element, thi box was extended, resulting in a new, highly conserved RNA secondary structure, the THI element, which is widely distributed in eubacteria and also occurs in some archaea. Analysis of operon structures identified a large number of new candidate thiamin-regulated genes, mostly transporters, in various prokaryotic organisms. RNAcentral also lists the same sequence under 1 other name. Lineage: Bacteria; Pseudomonadati; Thermodesulfobacteriota; Desulfuromonadia; Desulfuromonadales; Desulfuromonadaceae. The record is from RNAcentral.